This 880-nucleotide long non-coding RNA is filed under the name Marmota monax (woodchuck). Lineage: Eukaryota; Metazoa; Chordata; Mammalia; Rodentia; Sciuridae. The record is from RNAcentral.
GGGUCAGAUGUUUUCACACACUAUCAUGUGGCUGACUGUGACAUGUAAGAGCCAUUCAACUUUAGUGAUGUUAAAAUGUGAAAACAGUGUGCAUCUUGGAAACAUGUGAAAUAGGCUCAGCGGAAGACUCUGGGCCAGACCUGGAAGCUCGGGGGUGCUUGGUCUUCUGGCAGACCAGGGGUAAGUACUCCUCAUCUGGCUGCUUGGGCCUCCUCCCUGCAUGGCAGGCUUCUUUGGCAGAAACUUCUGGAAGGAAACCAGGAUUGUCAAUUCAGGAGCCCCACAACUCCCACUCAAAAAGGCAGGGAGAGCCCUGGUUCCUUGUGGGAGCUGCAGAGCUCAGUCACCCUGCAGAACAAGCACCCUCAGGGCUCCAGGCCUCCCAAAAUAAUUCAUUUUGGGUCAGGUGCACCCCCUAGGCUUAAUCAGUGCUGAUGCCACUCUGGGUCUGAUCCUCUUGGGCUGAACCCACUGGGGUUCCUGUGUGACCUGCUUCCCACUGUGUCUCCAAGACCCAGUACACAGUAGGCCUGAACACCAAGUGUGUUGUGGUAUGUGCACAGGGAGCUGCAGGAACUUCCUGUGAGAAUAAACACAGGUGCACACACCAGCAGGGAGCUCAGGUACCCAUCACAGAGAAACAAGACCCAAGUCCACACAGAAGUGGGUCCUCCAAUCCUCAUAGUUUUAUUUGUGAGAGCCCCAAACUGGAAACAGUCGGAUGCCCUCCAAUGAGUGGCCUGUAUGCAAACAGUGCCUUGUUCACACAGAGGCCACAGGUCAAGGAAAGUGCUGACAUGGGCACCACAGGCUGGAUCUCCAUGAACAGAGCGCUGAGUGAAGAAAGCAUACUCCAAGCACACAAGAUGCAGGAUUCCAU